CAACUGGCGAAUAUGCUGGAAAAUGACGCAUGGAAGAGCGAAGCAACGCUGUUCUCCCUGCAGGAUCUUAUUGACGAAGUCGUGCCGGAAGUGCUGCCCGCCAUUAAGCGUAAAGGGCUGCAACUGCACGUAACUAUAACGGUCCUAAGGUAGCGAAAUUCCUUGUCGGGUAAGUUCCGACCUGCACGAAUGGCGUAAUGAUGGCCAGGCUGUCUCCACCCGAGACUCAGUGAAAUUGAACUCGCUGUGAAGAUG
Molecule: ribosomal RNA, 255 nt
Filed under: Salmonella enterica subsp. enterica serovar Anatum
Lineage: Bacteria; Pseudomonadati; Pseudomonadota; Gammaproteobacteria; Enterobacterales; Enterobacteriaceae
Description: partial 23S ribosomal RNA
Rfam family: Bacterial large subunit ribosomal RNA
Source: RNAcentral